AACUCAAGGGAAACCUUAAGUCUUUGGGUUCUGGGGGGAGUAUAGUCGCAAGACCGAAACUUAAAGGAAUUGACGGAAAGGCACCACCAGGAGUGAAGUCUGCGGCUUAAUUCAACUCAACACGGGGAAACUCACCAGGUCAGGACACAAGUUUGAUUGACAGGUUAAUAGCCCUUUCUUGAUUGUGUGGUGGGUAGUGCAUGGCCGUUUCCAGUUCGGGGAGUGAUCUGUCUUGUUAAUUCAAAUAACAAACAAAACCUAAGCCUUUAACUAGCCGUAGGCCUUUUCCUUCGGGGAAGGGUUAGUUUGUCGGAACCAACAUCGGUUUGUCCCAAAACUUACAAGACUUUUGUCACCUCCUUAAAGGAACAUCAUUCCUAAACGAGGAUGAGGAACAUUUAGGCCAUAACAGGUCUGUGAUGCUCU
RNAcentral lists this ribosomal RNA (426 nucleotides) under Naegleria australiensis. Its description in RNAcentral is "SSU rRNA". It matches the Rfam family "Eukaryotic small subunit ribosomal RNA", at positions 1085 to 1473 of the family's 1831-position model. The record is from RNAcentral. Lineage: Eukaryota; Heterolobosea; Eutetramitea; Acrasida; Naegleriidae.